This 524-nucleotide ribosomal RNA is filed under the name uncultured bacterium. RNAcentral describes it as "partial 16S ribosomal RNA". It matches the Rfam family "Bacterial small subunit ribosomal RNA", at positions 28 to 523 of the family's 1533-position model. The record is from RNAcentral.
GACGAACGCUGGCGGCGUGCUUAACACAUGCAAGUCGAACGAGACGAUUGAAAGCUUGCUUUUGAAAGUCGAGUGGCAAACGGGUGAGUAACGCGUAGACAAUCUGCCUUUGAGCUGGGGACAACAGUUCGAAAGGACUGCUAAUACCGAAUGUUGUAUAUUUUUCACAUGGAAGAUAUAUUAAAGAUGGCCUCUAUUUAUAAGCUAUCGCGCAAAGAUGUGUCUACGUCUGAUUAGCUGGUUGGUGGGGUAACGGCCUACCAAGGCGACGAUCAGUAGCCGGUCUAUGAGGAUGAACGGCCACAUUGGGACUGAGACACGGCCCAGACUCCUACGGGAGGCAGCAGUGGGGAAUCUUCCACAAUGGACGAAAGUCUGAUGGAGCAACGCCGCGUGAGUGAAGAAGGGUUUCGGCUCGUAAAGCUCUGUUGUCGGGGACGAAUGUGCAGUAUUUGAAUAAAGUACUGUAAUGACGGUACCUGACGAGGAAGCCACGGCUAACUACGUGCCAGCCGCCGCCGUAA